Molecule: ribosomal RNA, 248 nt
Filed under: uncultured bacterium
Lineage: Bacteria
Description: partial 16S ribosomal RNA
Rfam family: Bacterial small subunit ribosomal RNA
Source: RNAcentral
ACCUACGGGGGGCAGCAGUGGGGAAUAUUGCACAAUGGGGGAAACCCUGAUGCAGCGACGCCGCGUGAGUGAAGAAGUAUUUCGGUAUGUAAAGCUCUAUCAGCAGGAACGAGACAAGACGGUACCUGACUAAGAAGCCCCGGCUAACUACGUGCCAGCAGCCGCGGUAAUACGUAGGGGGCAAGCGUUAUCCGGAUUUACUGGGUGUAAAGGGAGCGUAGGCGGUUUAGCAAGUCAGAAGUGAAAGC